AUUGAACGCUGGCGGCAUGCCUUACACAUGCAAGUCGAACGGUAACAGGUCUUCGGAUGCUGACGAGUGGCGAACGGGUGAGUAAUACAUCGGAACGUGCCCGAGAGUGGGGGAUAACGAAGCGAAAGCUUUGCUAAUACCGCAUACGAUCUCAGGAUGAAAGCAGGGGACCGCAAGGCCUUGCGCUCCCGGAGCGGCCGAUGGCAGAUUAGGUAGUUGGUGGGAUAAAAGCUUACCAAGCCGACGAUCUGUAGCUGGUCUGAGAGGACGACCAGCCACACUGGGACUGAGACACGGCCCAGACUCCUACGGAGGCAGCAGUGGGAAUUUUGGACAAUGGGCGCAAGCCUGAUCCAGCCAUGCCGCGUGCAGGAUGAAGGCCUCGGUUGUAACUGACUUUGUACGGUAACGAAAAGAACGUACCUGGUUAAUACCUGGGUCCAUG
RNAcentral lists this ribosomal RNA (445 nucleotides) under uncultured bacterium. RNAcentral describes it as "bacterial SSU rRNA". It matches the Rfam family "Bacterial small subunit ribosomal RNA", at positions 30 to 483 of the family's 1533-position model. The record is from RNAcentral.